RNAcentral lists this ribosomal RNA (501 nucleotides) under uncultured bacterium. Its description in RNAcentral is "bacterial SSU rRNA". It matches the Rfam family "Bacterial small subunit ribosomal RNA", at positions 40 to 518 of the family's 1533-position model. The record is from RNAcentral.
CGGCGUGCCUAACACAUGCAAGUCGUACGCGAAAGGGGCGUUCGGCCCUGAGUAAAGUGGCGCACGGGUGAGUAACACGUGGAUAAUCUGCCCGGUGAUCAGGGAUAACAUUCCGAAAGGAAUGCUAAUACCGGAUAAGCCCACGCAUCCUUCGGGGUGAGCGGGAAAAGGUGGGGACCUUCGGGCCUACUGUCACUGGAUGAGUCCGCGUCCCAUUAGCUAGUUGGUGGGGUAAUGGCCUACCAAGGCGACGAUGGGUAGCUGGUCUGAGAGGAUGAUCAGCCACACUGGAACUGAGACACGGUCCAGACUCCUACGGGAGGCAGCAGUGGGGAAUUUUGCGCAAUGGGCGAGAGCCUGACGCAGCAACGCCGCGUGAGUGAUGAAGGCCUUCGGGUCGUAAAGCUCUGUCAGAGGGAAAGAACAACCUGCCGGUUAAUACCCGGCGGGCCUGACGGUACCCUCAAAGGAAGCACCGGCUAACUCCGUGCCAGCAGCUGC